AAAUUGAAGAGUUUGAUCAUGGCUCAGAUUGAACGCUGGCGGCAGGCCUAACACAUGCAAGUCGAGCGGCAGCGGAAAGUAGCUUGCUACUUCGCCG
Molecule: ribosomal RNA, 97 nt
Filed under: Enterobacter asburiae
Lineage: Bacteria; Pseudomonadati; Pseudomonadota; Gammaproteobacteria; Enterobacterales; Enterobacteriaceae
Description: partial 16S ribosomal RNA
Rfam family: Bacterial small subunit ribosomal RNA
Source: RNAcentral